RNAcentral lists this ribosomal RNA (1346 nucleotides) under uncultured bacterium. Its description in RNAcentral is "partial 16S ribosomal RNA". It matches the Rfam family "Bacterial small subunit ribosomal RNA", at positions 28 to 1381 of the family's 1533-position model. The record is from RNAcentral.
GACGAACGCUGGCGGCGUGCUUAACACAUGCAAGUCGAACGGAAAGGCCCUGCUUUUGUGGGGUGCUCGAGUGGCGAACGGGUGAGUAACACGUGAGUAACCUGCCCUUGACUUUGGGAUAACUUCAGGAAACUGGGGCUAAUACCGGAUAGGAGCUCCUGCUGCAUGGUGGGGGUUGGAAAGUUUCGGCGGUUGGGGAUGGACUCGCGGCUUAUCAGCUUGUUGGUGGGGUAGUGGCUUACCAAGGCUUUGACGGGUAGCCGGCCUGAGAGGGUGACCGGCCACAUUGGGACUGAGAUACGGCCCAGACUCCUACGGGAGGCAGCAGUGGGGAAUAUUGCACAAUGGGCGGAAGCCUGAUGCAGCAACGCCGCGUGCGGGAUGACGGCCUUCGGGUUGUAAACCGCUUUCGCCUGUGACGAAGCGUGAGUGACGGUAAUGGGUAAAGAAGCACCGGCUAACUACGUGCCAGCAGCCGCGGUGAUACGUAGGGUGCGAGCGUUGUCCGGAUUUAUUGGGCGUAAAGGGCUCGUAGGUGGUUGAUCGCGUCGGAAGUGUAAUCUUGGGGCUUAACCCUGAGCGUGCUUUCGAUACGGGUUGACUUGAGGAAGGUAGGGGAGAAUGGAAUUCCUGGUGGAGCGGUGGAAUGCGCAGAUAUCAGGAGGAACACCAGUGGCGAAGGCGGUUCUCUGGGCCUUUCCUGACGCUGAGGAGCGAAAGCGUGGGGAGCGAACAGGCUUAGAUACCCUGGUAGUCCACGCUGUAAACGGUGGGUACUAGGUGUGGGGUCCAUUCCACGGGUUCCGUGCCGUAGCUAACGCUUUAAGUACCCCGCCUGGGGAGUACGGCCGCAAGGCUAAAACUCAAAGGAACUGACGGGGCCCCGCACAAGCGGCGGAGCAUGCGGAUUAAUUCGAUGCAACGCGUAGAACCUUACCUGGGUUUGACAUGGAUCGGGAGUGCUCAGAGAUGGGUGUGCCUCUUUUGGGGUCGGUUCACAGGUGGUGCAUGGCUGUCGUCAGCUCGUGUCGUGAGAUGUUGGGUUAAGUCCCGCAACGAGCGCAACCCUUGUUCACUGUUGCCAGCACGUUAUGGUGGGGACUCAGUGGAGACCGCCGGGGUCAACUCGGAGGAAGGUGGGGAUGACGUCAAGUCAUCAUGCCCCUUAUGUCCAGGGCUUCACGCAUGCUACAAUGGCUGGUACAGAGAGUGGCGAGCCUGUGAGGGUGAGCGAAUCUCGGAAAGCCGGUCUCAGUUCGGAUUGGGGUCUGCAACUCGACCUCAUGAAGUCGGAGUCGCUAGUAAUCGCAGAUCAGCAACGCUGCGGUGAAUACGUUCCCGGGGCU